UGGGGAAUUUUGGACAAUGGGGGAAACCCUGAUCCAGCCAUCCCGCGUGUGCGAUGAAGGCCUUCGGGUUGUAAAGCACUUUUGGCAGGAAAGAAACGUCAUGGGUUAAUACCCCGUGAAACUGACGGUACCUGCAGAAUAAGCACCGGCUAACUACGUUCCAGCAGCCGCGGUAAUACGUAGGGUGCAAGCGUUAAUCGGAAUUACUGGGCGUAAAGCGUGCGCAGGCGGUUCGGAAAGAAAGAUGUGAAAUCCCAGAGCUCAACUUUGGAACUGCAUUUUUAACUACCGGGCUAGAGUGUGUCAGAGGGAGGUGGAAUUCCGCGUGUAGCAGUGAAAUGCGUAGAUAUGCGGAGGAACACCGAUGGCGAAGGCAGCCUCCUGGGAUAACACUGACGCUCAUGCACGAAAGCGUGGGGAGCAAACAGG
Molecule: ribosomal RNA, 429 nt
Filed under: Acidobacteriota bacterium
Lineage: Bacteria; Pseudomonadati; Acidobacteriota
Description: Acidobacteria bacterium partial 16S ribosomal RNA
Rfam family: Bacterial small subunit ribosomal RNA
Source: RNAcentral